Molecule: ribosomal RNA, 253 nt
Filed under: uncultured bacterium
Lineage: Bacteria
Description: partial 16S ribosomal RNA
Rfam family: Bacterial small subunit ribosomal RNA
Source: RNAcentral
UACGUAGGGCGCAAGCGUUGUCCGGAAUUAUUGGGCGUAAAGAGCUCGUAGGCGGUCUGUCACGUCUGCUGUGAAAACUCGGGGCUUAACCCCGGGCCUGCAGUGGGUACGGGCAGACUAGAGUGCGGUAGGGGAGACUGGAAUUCCUGGUGUAGCGGUGAAAUGCGCAGAUAUCAGGAGGAACACCGGUGGCGAAGGCGGGUCUCUGGGCCGAUACUGACGCUGAGGAGCGAAAGCGUGGGGAGCGAACAGG